Non-coding RNA from Potamilus streckersoni, 77 nucleotides. NCBI's taxonomy places the organism in Eukaryota, Metazoa, Mollusca, Bivalvia, Unionida, Unionidae. The record is from the annotation of a GenBank genome assembly.
GACCGCUCCAGUGACCUAAUGGUUAGACCGUCCGCUUCGAAUGUGGGAAGUCGUGGGUUCGAUCCCCGGCUGAGUCA